CAAUAGCGUAUAUUAAAGUUGUUGCGGUUAAAAAGCUCGUAGUUGGAUUUCUGCUGAGGACGAUCGGUCCGCCCACUGGGUGAGUAUCUGGCUCGGCCUUGGCAUCUUCUUGGAGAACGUUGCUGCACUUGACUGUGUGGUGCGGUAUCCAGGACUUUUACUUUGAGGAAAUUAGAGUGUUUCAAGCAGGCGCACGCCUUGAAUACAUUAGCAUGGAAUAAUAAGAUAGGACCUUGGUUCUAUUUUGUUGGUUUCUAGAGCUGAGGUAAUGAUUAAGAGGGACAGUUGGGGGCAUUUGUAUUUCGUCGCUAGAGGUGAAAUUCUUAGAUUGACGAAAGACAAACUGCUGCGAAAGCGUCUGCCAAGGAUGUUUUCAUUGA
Molecule: ribosomal RNA, 380 nt
Filed under: uncultured eukaryote
Lineage: Eukaryota
Description: partial 18S ribosomal RNA
Rfam family: Eukaryotic small subunit ribosomal RNA
Source: RNAcentral